Molecule: ribosomal RNA, 238 nt
Filed under: uncultured bacterium
Lineage: Bacteria
Description: partial 16S ribosomal RNA
Rfam family: Bacterial small subunit ribosomal RNA
Source: RNAcentral
GCAAGUCGAACGAAUAUUUUCUAGAGCUUGCUCUAGAAAAUGUUAGUGGCAAACGGGUGAGUAACACGUGGGAAUCUACCUAUCAGUACGGAAUAACAUUUGGAAACAGAUGCUAAUACCGUAUAUUCUCUUCGGAGGAAAGAUUUAUCGCUGAUAGAUGAGCCCGCGUAAGAUUAGGUAGUUGGUAGGGUAAUGGCCUACCAAGCCUACGAUCUUUAGCUGAUUUGAGAGGAUGAUC